AUAUGGGAGAGCGCAGUGAGAAAUAUUUCACAAAAGGACGCAAGUGUGAGGCAGAGACGCCGCGUGGGAGAAAAAAUCAUUUGGGUAGAAAAACCCUUUUUUGUGUGACGAGAAAGGACGGUAUCCCAGGAAAAAAAGUCGGGUAUACUAUGUGCCAGCAGCAGGCGGUAAAACGUAGGAGACAAGAGUUAUCCGGAGUUACUGGGGGUAAAAAGCGCGUAGGCGGGUCGGUAAGAGUGUCGUGAAAGCGCCGGGGUAAACCGGGGGAGGACGAACUAGAGACUGGGUCUAGAGGGGGAUAGAGGGGGGCGGAAUUCCGGGUGUAGCGGUGAAAUGUGUAGAGAUCCGGAGGAACACCACUGGGGCAAACGGCGGCCCUGGGUCUGAACUGACGCUGAGGCACGAAAGAGUGGGGAGAGCAAACGAUUAGAGACCCCGGUAGAGCCCACGCCGUAAAAGAUGUCAACUAGGUGUCCACUUGGCUACGAUCAAUCGGUGCCGCAGCUAACGCGAUAAGUUGACCGCCUGGAG
This 531-nucleotide ribosomal RNA is filed under the name uncultured Gammaproteobacteria bacterium. Its description in RNAcentral is "partial 16S ribosomal RNA". It matches the Rfam family "Bacterial small subunit ribosomal RNA", at positions 339 to 878 of the family's 1533-position model. The record is from RNAcentral. Lineage: Bacteria; Pseudomonadati; Pseudomonadota; Gammaproteobacteria.